This 89-nucleotide transfer RNA is filed under the name Ruminococcus sp. RNAcentral's name for it is "tRNA-Trp". It matches the Rfam family "tRNA". Rfam says of the family: Transfer RNA (tRNA) molecules are approximately 80 nucleotides in length. Their secondary structure includes four short double-helical elements and three loops (D, anti-codon, and T loops). Further hydrogen bonds mediate the characteristic L-shaped molecular structure. tRNAs have two regions of fundamental functional importance: the anti-codon, which is responsible for specific mRNA codon recognition, and the 3' end, to which the tRNAs corresponding amino acid is attached (by aminoacyl-tRNA synthetases). tRNAs cope with the degeneracy of the genetic code in two manners: having more than one tRNA (with a specific anti-codon) for a particular amino acid; and 'wobble' base-pairing, i.e. permitting non-standard base-pairing at the 3rd anti-codon position. Lineage: Bacteria; Bacillati; Bacillota; Clostridia; Eubacteriales; Oscillospiraceae. The record is from RNAcentral.
GCGGAUUUACCCAAGUGUUCAAGGGGCUUUCACUCCAAAUGAAAGUAGACUGUUAAGUCAGUGCGGGGGUUAAAAUCCCCCAGUCCGCC